UCCCACAAUGCAGUAGAACUUGAGACGGCGGGUGGCGGACAUGUCGGGAACUGCUCGUCUAUCAAGUUUCUCCACAGAAGAGCUAGUUAAAAAAUAACUGAUGCUGGAAUACAAAUAAAUGAAGAGGAAGGAAAUUUGGGGGUUUUUGACGAGGUUGACUGAAUCCAUCCUUCAACACACAGCUUCUGUCAUGGCUUCAGGGAGGGCUUCACCACUGUUUUACCAAAUGUGCUGAAACUUGCUGAGGGAAAAUCUCUCCUUGCAAAACAGCACACUGAUGCAAGGCAGGAUGCCCCAGCUGAAGAUCUACCAGGAAUCGACUUUAGGGCUGGACUUAUCCUCUUACCAUCCAUCUUCAGAGAAAAGAUCGAACACUGCAUCACCGUGAGAGAGGUAGGCAUCUGAGUCGCCUUAUACUGACCUCAGGGGACCCUGCUACACUCCAUCCAACCAUACAACUGACUGACAAUGACUGGGAAAUGGCAAACACAGCAAGAGAACUCAGUGUGGUCAAAGUAGAUGGAGUAGAUGUGUGCCAGUGUGCAGGCCGUGAUGAAGCCUUCAUAACAGCCCUCAGUAUGUAUUUUGUUUUCAACAGUGCAUACCCACCACACCUGAGAAGCACACUCACCUUCCUCCAGGGGCGUAUUGUUGGUAUUGUGGAGGAGGGAGACGCGCCCCUGCCAGUGACAGUAC
Molecule: long non-coding RNA, 696 nt
Organism: Acanthopagrus latus (yellowfin seabream)
Lineage: Eukaryota; Metazoa; Chordata; Actinopteri; Spariformes; Sparidae
Exons: 4
Source: RefSeq, a predicted model, not a curated record